This is a long non-coding RNA of Hippopotamus amphibius kiboko, 1533 nucleotides long. RefSeq lists it as uncharacterized. The record is from RefSeq and is a predicted model, not a curated record. NCBI's taxonomy places the organism in Eukaryota, Metazoa, Chordata, Mammalia, Artiodactyla, Hippopotamidae. The transcript has 3 exons.
CUGAGGUUGGGUGGGCCGUCUGGACCGAAGCUCCCUCUUCCCGCGGUGGCCCAGCCCCGUCCCCCUGGCUGCCCCGUUCCCUGGGGGGUGCUCCUGGCUGCUCCCUGGGCUGAGGUCAGCUGUGUCUUGUGGCUUAGGCGGGAUGAAGCUGCUUGCAUGCACAGUGUCCCGAGCUGUGAAUUGCUUGGGUGGCAGUUUCCGUGUUUGUGCAACACUGUGUUUUUCCGAUGGAGCAGAGCCCUCCCCGUGACUCCACACAGACGGGAGUGGAGUUGGGCUCUGCGGGUCCUGCAGGCUGACGGCCGCGGAGUCACACAUUAGUUACAACACGUUUAUAAACCUGCUUUAUCAUCAAAACUAGGCUGAAUGCUGCAGGAGUACUAUUCAGCUUAAGACACGACCCGCCCUCUUGCCGAGGAAAGUACCAGCAGGGAGAGGCGUGCCGCACACUGGAAGAGCUGGGCUAAGGGCCCGCGGCACGUGAUGAAAGAGCGUGAACACUGAGUCAGAGAAAAACUGAGUCUGAAUUUCAGCUCUACCUCCUUCUGGCUCUUUAUUCAGAUAAUAGUAUUUCUCCAGCUGAGUGUUUGCAGAGAUGAAACAAACCACCUUACGAAUAGCCCAGCACUGUGUGUGUGUGUGCAUAGCCUAAGUCUUUUCAAUAAAAACUACGUUUCUCUGUUACUACAUCACGCAGAAACGGUUGGGAAGAUUUUUCAUCAAACGUGAAGGUUGCAUUUGGGAUGUCUGACAGAGUACAGGUCCGUAGUGUUCGCCAAGGAGAGGUCGCAUCUGAGGUGGCGGACGUGACGUCAUGCACCGGUGCUGACGGGCAGGCUGACGCCUCGGCCCCGCUCUCGCCCGGUCUAAGGAUGGGAUUGGGUGCUGGUCACUGUGUCCGGGUCCAUCUUUAGAAUCUUCCUGGGACUCAGACAGUUUUAGGAUUCAGGCUAACUCUCACCCGUCGCCCUCGCUGGUGUGGGAACUGUGGCCCCAGAUCUCAGCCCUGGAGCCCGCCUGCAGGACAGGAAGCCUGCUGGUUUUGGAGGACGGGACGGAAUGCGAUAUGGUCCCCAGGGGAGCGACCGGGACGGCUGGGUCACCUCCUCAACCGGGGGGCAGACCGUGGUGCAGGUUCGGAGCCACCCCGUGUUUAGAAAAGAGCAGCGGUUAGUUCGCGACAAGGCAACGCAGCUCCUGCUGCAGAGGGGGCUUCCCUGGUGGCGCCGGGGUUAAGCACCCGCCUGCCGAUGCAGGGGACACGGGUUCGAUCCCUGGUCCUGGAAGAUCCCACAUGCUGUAGAGCCACUGAGCCCGUGCGCCACAAUGACUGAGCCUGCGUGCUGCAAUUACUGAAGCCUGCUCCGCAGCAAGAGAAGCCCCUGCAGUGAGGAGCCCGCGCGCUGUAAAGAAGAUGACACCCCACUCGCCACUAGAGAAAGCCCAAGUGCAGCAAAGAGGACCCAACACAGCCCAAAAUAAAUAAAAUAAAUAAAUAAACAAAUUUAAAAAAAUAAUGGAAAAAUAAACUUC